Long non-coding RNA from Puntigrus tetrazona (Sumatra barb), 1140 nucleotides. RefSeq lists it as uncharacterized. The record is from RefSeq and is a predicted model, not a curated record. The transcript is spliced from 3 exons. Lineage: Eukaryota; Metazoa; Chordata; Actinopteri; Cypriniformes; Cyprinidae.
UUUUCUCAGGUCCCAGCGUGGCUCUCAAAUGAACUUCUUACAGACCGCUUCGGACCUUUCACUGCUGCAUGCAGAAUGCUGUGAAUGACUUUCCACGGGGUAGACAGAAAGGAAAGAUAAUUUCAGGGAUGGUGGAGUGGAACAAUAGACAGCGCCGAGGAGAAAUUGGCCUCUGUGGGAAAGGUCCUAGUUCACUGGAGUUAAUGCUGAGCUCUGUAUUGAAGUUAAAAGAAGGGAUUGGCUGUUCCUCGAGGGACGUGAUUGGGCGAAUCCUGACGUGGACGUCUUUAAAAGGGCGGCGCUCCCAAAAUAUGGCGAGCUCACUUCGUCGAUAUUGUGUCGGUUUCAGUUAACAAAAAGUGAUUAAUGGCUUAAGGAACUACUCUGGAGCGUAGGAGAGGUCUGCCCUUUAUUUUUGAUAUGAUUUUGCGAUGCGUUUUUGCCUAGGGAGUUAGGGAAGUUGAUUUGUAUUUUCUUUUCCUUAUCGUUAGGUAAUUUAUAUAUUUUAUUUUAUUAUGGUCUUUUGGUUUGUUAUUCUGGCCUUGGGUCUCUCUGAAGUUAAUGCUCCUUUAUAUAUUAAUUUUACUUGUUACCCAAUAAAUAACUUAAAAUUCACUUAUUCUUAUUCUUAAAUCUUAUUCGCGUCUCACCCAUUAAAAUGGGCCCGUAACAAUACAAUUAAAACUAAAAGACUUUCAAACCACAUGAGCCAAUAUUUUAUUUACAAUGGAACAUUGAGAACAUAAUCAGUGUUUAAAUGAAGAAAUUUGACAGUUUGAGCUCGUUUAAAAUUUGAUGCCUGCUACUGGUCUCAAAAAAGUUGACACGUGUCAACAAAGGGCUGUGAAAGCAAAAAAUGUUGAAAACAUUCAGCUGGGGGAACAUAUAGCAACUAAUUGGGAUAAUUGACAUCAGGUCUGUAAUAUGAAAUAUUAGCUAUAAAAAGGAUGUCUUUUAAAGAGGCAGAAUCUCACACAAGUAAAGAUCUGUGAAAGAAUUUGUAAAUAGAUUGUGAAAUGCGUUCCUCAACGUCAAAUUGUAAAGGUUUUGCUAAUCUCAUCAUCUACAGCGUAUGACAUUGAGCUUCUCAAAAGAUUCAGAGAAACUGGAAACAUAUGUGUGCGUAAGGGACAAGGCCAA